This 526-nucleotide ribosomal RNA is filed under the name Agaricus campestris. RNAcentral's name for it is "eukaryotic LSU rRNA". It matches the Rfam family "Eukaryotic large subunit ribosomal RNA", at positions 1 to 525 of the family's 3401-position model. Lineage: Eukaryota; Fungi; Basidiomycota; Agaricomycetes; Agaricales; Agaricaceae. The record is from RNAcentral.
CUUGACCUCAAAUCAGGUAGGACUACCCGCUGAACUUAAGCAUAUCAAUAAGCGGAGGAAAAGAAACUAACAAGGAUUCCCCUAGUAACUGCGAGUGAAGCGGGAAAAGCUCAAAUUUAAAAUCUGGCGGUCUCUGGCCGUCCGAGUUGUAAUCUAGAGAAGUAAUGCCCGUGCUGGACCGUGUAUAAGUCUCCUGGGAUGGRGCGUCAUAGAGGGUGAGAAUCCCGUCUUUGACACGGACUACCAGUGCAUUGUGGUAUGCUCUCAAAGAGUCGAGUUGUUUGGGAAUGCAGCUCAAAAUGGGUGGUAAAUUCCAUCUAAAGCUAAAUAUUGGCGAGAGACCGAUAGCGAACAAGUACCGUGAGGGAAAGAUGAAAAGAACUUUGGAAAGAGAGUUAAACAGUACGUGAAAUUGCUGAAAGGGAAACGCUUGAAGUCAGUCGCGUUGGCCAGGGAUCAGCCUUGCUUUUGCAUGGUGUACUUUCUGGUUGACGGGUCAGCAUCAAUUUUGACCGCUGGAAAARGG